CAAUAGCGUAUAUCUAAGUUGUUGCAGUUAAAAAGCUCGUAGUUGGAUUUUGGGUCGGGGGCACCGGUCCGCCGUUCCGGUGUGCACUGGUGGCCCCUUCCUUUCUGCCGGGGACGUGCGUCGCACUUAAUUGGGUGGCGUUCGGAGUCGGCGUUGUUACUUUGAAAAAAUUAGAGUGUUCAAAGCAAGCCAUCGCUCUGAAUACAUUAGCAUGGAAUAACAUGAUAGGACUCUGGUCUUAUUUUGUUGGUUUCCGAGACUGGAGUAAUGAUUAAGAGGGACAGUCGGGGGCAUCCGUAUUUCAUUGUCAGAGGUGAAAUUCUUGGAUUUAUGAAAGACGAACUUCUGCGAAAGCAUUUGCCAAGGAUGGUUUCAUUAA
This 379-nucleotide ribosomal RNA is filed under the name uncultured eukaryote. Its description in RNAcentral is "partial 18S ribosomal RNA". It matches the Rfam family "Eukaryotic small subunit ribosomal RNA", at positions 592 to 976 of the family's 1831-position model. The record is from RNAcentral.